GAUGAACGCUAGCGGCAGGCUUAACACAUGCAAGUCGAGGGGUAUAGUUCUUCGGAAUUAGAGACCGGCGCACGGGUGCGUAACGCGUAUGCAAUCUGCCCUUUCACAGAGGGAUAGCCCAGAGAAAUUUGGAUUAAUACCUCAUAGUAUUAUAGAGUGGCAUCACUUUAUAAUUAAAGUCACAACGGUGAAAGAUGAGC
Molecule: ribosomal RNA, 200 nt
Filed under: uncultured bacterium
Lineage: Bacteria
Description: partial 16S ribosomal RNA
Rfam family: Bacterial small subunit ribosomal RNA
Source: RNAcentral